GAACAAUCAAAUUAGCCACAGGAGAAGGAUACAGACGGAUUUCUUCAAUGCCGCCACCGAGCUGGCCGGAGGAACCUCUGCCCCAGGAGAGCAGCUGGAGAAUAGCGGUGGUUCCGGCAUUGUUUGGAUGCGUUUCUUCGGGAGAAUCGUGCUUGUAGAGGAAGGGAACUUUUGGCGACCCGGACGACGAUGGAGGCGAUUGAAUCGGAGAAGAGAAAUGUCGGCAACGAGGUAGAUUGGCUGCCAAAGAGCGCUGUGAUCGAAGAAAGUACAUAUCACGCGAGCAAUCGGUC
This 293-nucleotide unclassified non-coding RNA is filed under the name Hevea brasiliensis (rubber tree). The record is from RNAcentral. Lineage: Eukaryota; Viridiplantae; Streptophyta; Magnoliopsida; Malpighiales; Euphorbiaceae.